CAUCAAACAUAAAUGUUUUAAGAUUGUAAAUAUGUGGUUUUUAUUGUAUUCCAGGGCAGGCUUUCUAUUUUAAAAGUCUGUACAAAAACCACGCCAAUAGGUCCUGAUGUUUCCUUAGAAAACCUAGCAGCAGAAACCUCUUUCUUCUCUGGAGCUGAUCUUAGAAACCUUUGCAAAGAAGCUGCCUUACUUGCUCUACAGGAAAAUGGACUAGAAGCAGCCACAGUGAAACAAGAGCACUUCCUACAAUCACUUAGGACUAUGAAACCAUCCUUAAGUCAGAAGUACUUGACCUUGUAUGAAAACUUAUUUAAGAAAGAAUUUUCCAAUUUGGAAGCUCCUUAAAAAUUACCCUUUAUGUAGUUCACAUGAAUUGGAAUGUGAACUUGCUGGUAGUUUGCAACUUCACACUUUUAGAGUCUGUGUAUUAAGAGAGACCGACAGAGACUUGGCUUGACAAGCUAAGGAUCAUCUUAUUUCCAGAAGGUAUAUUAAAAUACUGUAAGAAAUAUAUGUGUAUGGUUUUGUUAGGGUAAUUGUUUUUAGUUUAUUUUUUGUAACUUUGAAAUAAUUUCAUGGUCACAGAAAAGUUGCAAGAAUAGGAGGAAGAACUCUUGACAUUCUCUAACCCAGAUUCACCAAUCUUUAGUAUUUUGUCACAUUUGUUUUCUCCCCCUCCUCUACACACACAACUUCUGAACACUUUGAGAGUCUAAUAGAUGUGUGAGAAAUGUAUCAUCAGGCAGCUUUGUUAUGAGCAUCAUAGAGUAGUUUGGUUAUUCAGAGAUAGCCACAGCAUCGGGAGACGAUACCAUACUAGGGGCUUGCUGUCUUAUGCGCUUGUCGUGGACUGAAGCAUGCCAGUCUUUGUGACUAUGUGCAUCACGCUCCAGCACUGCCGCAGUAGUCAGUGUGUGUCUUACAAAUAAAGUUGUCUUAUUUUACAGUUUACUGACCAAACUCAGGAAGUUGACAUGCUAUUGUAAUAUAUCAUCCAAUGACUUUCAUUCUGUCCCAGUGACGGCCUGUAUAGUAAAUUUUUUCCACCAGAGGGCCCAGUCUAGGAUUACACAUCAAAUUGAGUUGUCCCCUGUCUUUGGCUUCUUAACUUGACAGUUCUUCACUCAGUCCUUCUGGACUGUGACAUCUUUGAAAAGUGUAGACCAGUUACUUUGUAUCACAGUCGAUCCUGGGUUUGUGUUUGUCAGAGGAUUCUUUGUUAGGUUUUGCAUCACUGAUGGAAUAUUCAUGGGUGGCUCUCUUCCUUAGUAUCCCAGCUGGAGACAGGUGCUGUCUACAUUGUUGGCGAUUCUAAUUUUGAUCACUAUUUAUUAUAUUGUAUGGUGUAUACUUUUUUUAACCUUUCAUAAUUAUAAGUAAUUUUUAAGGCAUAGAUUUGUUUGUUUGUUUUUUCCUUUACAGAAGCAAUUACAAACUGAAAAUCUUGGUAUUUAGCCUUCUAGUCCUUAAUGGACAUAUAGAUACUUGUGUUUAAACCAAAAGAUAAUGCUGCUGCAAGACUUUUAUGUAUUUUCCUCAGCAAGUAGCUGGUAAACAUCUCAUUAGACCAUUCAUGGUGGUGUCUAGGUGCUGGAAGGUACAGUGAAUGAGGCAGACAUGGCACAGACAUCACACAAAUCAGUGGAUUCAGUGAUGGUGGGAAGUACUUCACAGAAGUGUGGGGUGCCAGGACAACACGGGACCCAGAAGCUGGUGGAGGGUGCCUAGGUCUGGCUACAGAUUACUUAGGGAAAGAUUUGCACAGUUUACAGGUGUGAAAUAAAAUUCUAACCACUAACUCUGAUUUUGAGUAAAGGGAAAAUCCUUAAACACUUAUUAGGGUUUUGAUUAUUCAUGUUCCUGCCGUACUAUACCUGGUAAACCCCAGUGCAAGCCCCUUCACUUCUGUGAACCUCUUGUUUUAUCCUUGAAAACCUUGCUAGUAGUCAAGCUGGAAAUAAAUUUACCCACACUGACUCAGGCUGAAUUGAUUUGAAAAUACCUUUGAAAUGGUAAUUAUAACAAAUACUAUAAUACAUUUUAUAUUAAAAUUAUGUAAUAUAAUGAAAUAUGGCCAUUGUAUUCAUUAUCAUUCUAAUUUAGUUCUGUGUUCUCAGUAGAACUUUGGAAGCCUUUGGAGACCAUGUUUUUGCUGUCACUGAAAAUGUCCAAUAAAUGGAAAAA
This 2184-nucleotide long non-coding RNA is filed under the name Nannospalax galili (Upper Galilee mountains blind mole rat). Its description in RNAcentral is "lncRNA (ENSNGAG00000024420.1)". Lineage: Eukaryota; Metazoa; Chordata; Mammalia; Rodentia; Spalacidae. The record is from RNAcentral.